This 387-nucleotide ribosomal RNA is filed under the name Triticum aestivum (bread wheat). RNAcentral describes it as "partial small subunit ribosomal RNA". The record is from RNAcentral. Lineage: Eukaryota; Viridiplantae; Streptophyta; Magnoliopsida; Poales; Poaceae.
AUGAGGACAUCGAGCUUCCUUCUCAUCGUUGCUGCCGCAUUCCUCUACGCCAUCGCCUCACCCACCACGGGCUGUGGGGAAUGGAUGGGCAACCAAUUGCGGAACACAACAAUAGAGAAUGGAUUGGAACCAAUCAGAAAUAUCAACGACCAACGCAUCCAGGUGCUCGGCAAUUGGGCGGUGUUGGAGUUCGGAAAGUACACAAAUUGUGUGCUCAAGUUCAACAAGGUGGUGAGUGGCAGACAACAACAUGCAUUUUUAUUGUACUACGAACUCAUCAUCGAUGCAUCGGACGUCCGCGGGGUAGACGGCAAGUACAAGGCAAGGGUGCUCGUGCAAGAGGGGGUUCACAGACCCCAUCUCCUCUCCUUUGCCAAGGUGAACUAG